AAGAAAAUCACACAUAUAUACUAUUACGUACCUCAUCAAUCGAUAUGGCAUGCUACCAGGAGAAUAGUGGCAGAGGACUAUCGGGAAGCACCAAGGUGUUGAUAUGUCUGUGGCUGCUGGCGCUAUUUGUCCGGUCAUCUGAUGCAGAAGAGGUGGGACUGAAAGGCUGUGAGUUCAAUGACUGGAGCAAGACGUGGAACAAGAUAUGCGUGAAACGUGGCACUUGCAACACGCCCUGCAGAGCCGAGGGCUGGGAAAAAGGCGCAUGCUUCUUCAUCAAUCACUGCCUCUGCUACAAGAACUGCUCCCCGUCCCCGGCUACUUGAUUCAUGUACUCACUAUUGUGAUGUGAGUGCAUAUAUACUCCCUUAGUUGUCUUAGUUCAUGUUGUCUUAGUUCAACAUUUUGUUUUAGUCCAACAUGCAUGUAUGGCUUAAGACAAGAGUAAAUGGUCUUAUAUAGAUGCAGGGCGUACAUGCAUGCGUUGUGACUACAUUUUUUUGCAAAAUAAAGUUGGGGCAGUAUUCAUCAACUGCAAUCUUUUA
Molecule: long non-coding RNA, 545 nt
Organism: Triticum dicoccoides
Lineage: Eukaryota; Viridiplantae; Streptophyta; Magnoliopsida; Poales; Poaceae
Exons: 2
Source: RefSeq, a predicted model, not a curated record